GCCAGGAACAGUGGCUCAUACCUGUAGUCCUGGCUACUCUGGAGGGUGAGGCAGGUGUUUUGCUUGAGUCUAAGAGUUCAUCUGGGGAUGUAGCUCAGUGCUAAAGUACUUGCCUAGCAUGCACUGGACAAUGUAGCAAGACCCUAUCUCAA
Molecule: small RNA, 152 nt
Filed under: Marmota monax (woodchuck)
Lineage: Eukaryota; Metazoa; Chordata; Mammalia; Rodentia; Sciuridae
Source: RNAcentral